Molecule: long non-coding RNA, 1242 nt
Organism: Betta splendens (Siamese fighting fish)
Lineage: Eukaryota; Metazoa; Chordata; Actinopteri; Anabantiformes; Osphronemidae
Exons: 3
Source: RefSeq, a predicted model, not a curated record
CCAAAAUGCUUUGUUACCAUGGUAACUGGAAACCUGUAAUGUGGCAAUUUUGACAAUUUGCAAAUGAAAUAUUAUUAGCUGAUAAUGAAUAUAAUUGCAGCCCUUCUGUGGUUUAUAUUAUCAGAUGUUUUUAAAGUACAGAGUCAAUAAUGAAGUGCAGUUAUGUAGAAAUGUACCAGGAGUCAACAGAGGUGGACUUUUAUUUGAAUUAAAAGAAAAAAAUGAAAAAAGUGAAAAAGUGAAAGAACCCUACGAAGAAAACUGCACAUUGUUGAAGGUAGAAUGAAGUUUUAAGAUGAGCUGCUAUAGGAUGAAUUUGAUUGUGACGGACCUUUGACCUGUCAACGCCCCGCCCACCUUUAAUCAGGCGCUGUGACAUGCGCACUAGCGCUUCACGUUGGACGUCUGGCCUGGCAGAAGUAUAACGGAAUAAGAUCGUGUUCAUGGCGGAACGUUACAGCUCCAACUGAAACGCAGGCACGCGACAGGGCGCGCGACGGCUGUGGGACAAGUCAACAGGAUGUCAACGUAGCAACAGAACAACAACAUGGAGGAACAAACCCAACUCGGGCGUUGUCUGCGCACCUGGAGUGUGACGUCACCGCAGGUUCUCGUCGGCUUGUUUUGACAUCGCUGUGAGCGGCGGUGGGUUGUUGUGGCACAAGCAUCAAGAGCUGUUGGAGGCCGGAGGAGCCGUGAGACGCCAGGUUCCAUCACGUUCCCCCAGACGGAGAACGUGAGACGCCAGGUUCCAUCACGUUCCACAGAGAAGCCGUCCGCGGGGGGAACCAGACGUUCCCCAGACAGAGAACGUGAGCGGGGGGAACCAGACGUUCCCCAGACGGAGAACUUGAGCGGGGGGAACCAGACGUUCCCCAGACAGAGAACGUGAGCGGGGGGAACCAGACGUUCCCCAGACAGAGAACGUGAGCGGGGGGAACCAGACGUUCCCCAGACGGAGAACUUGAGCGGGGGGAACCAGACGUUCCCCAGACAGAGAACGUGAGCGGGGGGAACCAGACGUUCCCCAGACGGAGAACGUGAGACGGUGAGGAUGCAACAAGGACAUGUGUUCUGCUCCUCGUCUUCCAGGUUCUGCUUCAGUGGUUCUAUCGACGUCUACCACAGCCAGCGCUUCAGCUCUGCAGCCUCUUACUGGACGCUUAAAGGAGAGGAGCAGGUCCGAACGCCAGCGGGUUCUGGCAGCACCAGCCAGCGCUGCAGCGUCUUUGCCCUCCGUGG